CCAUGAGCCGGCAUCGCGAAUCAAUGAACACAUUUUAACAGUCGUUUAAAGUUCGUUUUGGUUUAACCGAGUUCAUUUGUUGUUCAUUCUUGUUAAAAUAAACGACCGUCAAAAAAGUUAACGACUGCUCGAUAUCGCAUAUAGGCAAACACGGGGAAAAAAAUCGAGCACUAUAAUUAAACGACUGUUAAUUUGCAUCGCAUACGCUCUUGACAGUCGUUUGUUUAACGCAGUUUAACGUUUUCGCAGACACACAUGGCUACUGCAUCGCGUCACCCACCGCCGUCGUGGGGAAUGGAUAAUUUUCACGCAAACUGGCGGUAUGGUGUAUAAUGGAACGGGCAAAGAUGACGCUACCUGCAUCCUGCUUGGCGCGAUGGCCAAUAACGAUAUUGAUGAUGUUCGGCGCCGGUACCGUCAUGCGUAACGAGUUCUGUUCCACGCGCCGUACAUCAUCAACCAGUACGAGAAUCCGAUGCCGAUUUCGGUGCAAUCCUGGAUCCGCAUCGACGGAUCGGGUAACAUCGACACCGCUGGACGCAGAGCGAUGACUAACCCGCAAUCCCGUACCGGAAACUGGAACCUGCAGGCCGUCGUAGGCAGUGCUGGUACUGGUUUUCGCACUUGGACUGUCCGUUUGUUGGCGUUCACAACGACCUGAAUCAUCGUGCUCAAUCAACUGUGGCCUGAAGAAGCCAACGACGUCAAUGCGGCCCCAAGUCCAUCGCUUUACGCAUGUACCCCCCCUCCCCGGUGCUGGAGGAAAAAAUCGCAAAGUGCGGGAAAAGGUUACUACGGCCGUACUAUCGGAUGAAACUCGUGCCGAACACCGCGAAGGCGACAAGAAGGAAGCGAAGGAAGGUGCCAAGACGGCCUCAAAGGGUAAAACGCAGCGUUCGGUAGCAAGCAUAACACGGCCAAGGUGGAGGUGCAAGCUUUAUACAUCGCAACACCGGUCAAGGAGGAAUUGAAGACGGAUAAUUCGACUGACUCUGGAACGGCUUUUCGCGCACCAGCUAUUGCUACCGAGAACGACCGGCAACAGAUAAGGUAGCAGGCAGGACAGUGAACAAAACGUCCAGAGAACCGGAAGUGCUGUAACGUUCGAGUGUGUGAAACAUGAUGUUUAAAACCUGUACCUUGAACCCAUUGAUGCGGCGUGCUUUUCUUGCGUUUGAUUUGUGAUUGUACAAUACAAUUUGUACUACAAUGUUUCAAUUCGUUUUAAAUAUUAAAAACAAGCUGUGUGCUCUCUCUGAAUGUCUCAUUAAUAA
Long non-coding RNA from Anopheles gambiae (African malaria mosquito), 1274 nucleotides. RefSeq lists it as uncharacterized. NCBI's taxonomy places the organism in Eukaryota, Metazoa, Arthropoda, Insecta, Diptera, Culicidae. The record is from RefSeq and is a predicted model, not a curated record. The transcript has 2 exons.